Molecule: small RNA, 760 nt
Filed under: Pan troglodytes (chimpanzee)
Lineage: Eukaryota; Metazoa; Chordata; Mammalia; Primates; Hominidae
Description: retained intron
Source: RNAcentral
AAUGCGUCGGGCCUUGUAACAUUAGCUAGGGGAGCAUCGGGUAGGGUUCUUCCCAUGACUGUAAGGUAGUGAUGUUUCCUUUUCCUCCACAGCCCAGGCUUGCAUCCCUCCCUGCGGUCUCCAGGAGUUCGCCCGGCGUUUCCUCUGCAGCGGGUGCUACUCUAGGGUCUGCGACCUCCCGCUGGACUGCCCAGUUCAGGAUGUGACAGUGACUCGGGGCGACCAGGCUAUGUUUUCUUGCAUCGUAAACUUCCAGCUGCCAAAGGAGGAGAUCACCUAUUCCUGGAAGUUCGCAGGAGGAGGUCUCCGGACUCAGGACUUGUCCUAUUUCCGAGAUAUGCCGCGGGCCGAAGGAUACCUGGCGCGGAUCCGGCCGGCUCAGCUCACGCACCGCGGGACGUUCUCCUGCGUGAUCAAGCAAGACCAGCGCCCCCUGGCCCGGCUCUACUUCUUUCUUAACGUGACGGGACCGCCCCCGCGGGCGGAGACAGAGUUGCAGGCCUCGUUCCGGGAAGUGCUGCGCUGGGCGCCGCGGGAUGCCGAGCUGAUCGAGCCCUGGAGGCCCAGCCUGGGCGAGCUGCUGGCCAGGCCCGAGGCUCUGACGCCCAGCAACCUGUUCCUGAUUGCAGUCCUCGGGGCCCUCGCAUCAGCGAGUGCGACAGUGUUGGCGUGGAUGUUCUUUCGAUGGUACUGCAGUGGCAACUAACAAAGGUAUCUCUUUCCUCCUUCCCUAUCCUAUUUCCAUCCUGAAAAUAAAGAA